CUGACUGCUAUCGGAUUGAUACUAAGCCAUGCGAGUCUUUGUAGUAAUACAAGGCAUACGGCUCAGUAACACGUAGUCAACCUACCCUAUGGACGAGAAUAAUCUCGGGAAACUGAGCAUAAUUCUUGAUAGAUCAUAAUGCCUGGAAUGGUUUAUGGUUAAAAUGAUUCGUCGCCAUAGGAUGGGACUGCGGCCUAUCAGCUUGUUGGUGAGGUAAUGGCCCACCAAGGCGAUUACAGGUACGGGCUCUGAGAGGAGAAGCCCGGAGAUGGGUACUGAGACACGGACCCAGGCCCUAUGGGGCGCAGCAGGCGAGAAAACUUUGCAAUGUGCGAAAGCACGACAAGGUUAAUCCGAGUGGUUUCUGCUAAAGGAACCUUUUGUUAGUCCUAAAAACACUAACGAAUAAGGGGUGGGCAAGUUCUGGUGUCAGCCGCCGCGGUAAAACCAGCACCUCAAGUGGUCAGGAUGAUUAUUGGGCCUAAAGCAUCCGUAGCCUGCUCUGUAAGUUUUCGGUUAAAUCCAUGUGCUCAACGCAUGGGCUGCCGAAAAUACUGCAUAGCUAGGGAGUGGGAGAGGUAGACGGUACUCAGUAGGAAGGGGUAAAAUCCUUUGAUCUAUUGAUGACCACCUGUGGCGAAGGCGGUCUACCAGAACACGUUCGACGGUGAGGGAUGAAAGCUGGGGGAGCAAACCGGAUUAGAUACCCGGGUAGUCCCAGCUGUAAACGAUGCAGACUCGAUGAUGCAUUGGCAUAAUAGCCAGUGCAGUGUCGCAGGGAAGCCGUUAAGUCUGCCGCCUGGGAAGUACGUACGCAAGUAUGAAACUUAAAGGAAUUGGCGGGGGAGCACCACAAGGGGUGAAGCCUGCGGUUCAAU
Molecule: ribosomal RNA, 878 nt
Filed under: uncultured marine group I thaumarchaeote
Lineage: Archaea; Thermoproteati; Nitrososphaerota
Description: SSU rRNA
Rfam family: Archaeal small subunit ribosomal RNA
Source: RNAcentral